RNAcentral lists this ribosomal RNA (543 nucleotides) under Aspergillus aculeatus. RNAcentral describes it as "eukaryotic LSU rRNA". It matches the Rfam family "Eukaryotic large subunit ribosomal RNA", at positions 98 to 656 of the family's 3401-position model. Lineage: Eukaryota; Fungi; Ascomycota; Eurotiomycetes; Eurotiales; Aspergillaceae. The record is from RNAcentral.
GCGGCAAGAGCUCAAAUUUGAAAGCUGGCCCCUCCGGGGCCCGCGUUGUAAUUUGCAGAGGAUGCUUUGGGUGCGGCCCCCGUCUAAGUGCCCUGGAACGGGCCGUCAGAGAGGGUGAGAAUCCCGUCUUGGGCGGGGUGUCCGUGCCCGUGUAAAGCUCCUUCGACGAGUCGAGUUGUUUGGGAAUGCAGCUCUAAAUGGGUGGUAAAUUUCAUCUAAAGCUAAAUACUGGCCGGAGACCGAUAGCGCACAAGUAGAGUGAUCGAAAGAUGAAAAGCACUUUGAAAAGAGAGUUAAACAGCACGUGAAAUUGUUGAAAGGGAAGCGCUUGCGACCAGACUCGCCCUCGGGGUUCAGCCGGCACUCGUGCCGGUGUACUUCCCCGGGGGCGGGCCAGCGUCAGCUUGGGCGGCCGGUCAAAGGCCUCCGGAAUGUAGUGCCCCCCGGGGCACCUUAUAGCCGGAGGUGCAAUGCGGCCAGCCUGGGCUGAGGAACGCGCUUCGGCACGGACGCUGGCAUAAUGGUCGCAAACGACCCGUCUUG